UACGUAGGGUGCAAGCGUUGUCCGGAAUUAUUGGGCGUAAAGAGCUCGUAGGCGGUCUGUCGCGUCUGCUGUGAAAAUCCAGGGCUCAACCCUGGACCUGCAGUGGGUACGGGCAGACUAGAGUGCGGUAGGGGAGAUCGGAAUUCCUGGUGUAGCGGUGAAAUGCGCAGAUAUCAGGAGGAACACCGGUGGCGAAGGCGGUUCUCUGGGCAUUACCUGACGCUGAGGAGCGAAAGUGUGGGGAGCGAACAGG
Molecule: ribosomal RNA, 253 nt
Filed under: uncultured bacterium
Lineage: Bacteria
Description: partial 16S ribosomal RNA
Rfam family: Bacterial small subunit ribosomal RNA
Source: RNAcentral